GUGGAUGGCCACACGGCGACUAUCCGGCGAUGCCCCUGCGAGGAUAAAGCCACCCCGACCCCCCUCUGAACCCUAGGUCGACCUUUCCCCCCCUCCGUCACUCUUCUCCUUCGACUUCUUCGUCGCCCGAAGAAACCAUCGUCGUGAUGUCGUCGUCUUCGCGGCCAGGAGCUUCUCCGAGCCACGAUUGGGUGUCCAGGAGGUGCGCUGCAUCCAUCUACGUCGACUACAAGGAGCGAUUCAACUGGAAUCGCACUGCGCCCAUGCAUCGGCCGAUCUCCUUCGUCUACGGCCGCCGCACCUCGCCGCUCGAUCCGCCCGUCUUCGACCACCUCCGGCCUCCCCGACCUCGCCUUCGUGUUCAUUACCCCGAGACUGCCAACGACCCCAGUUCGACUACACCGAAGAUGACCCCUCCUUCCCGGCUGAGCUUCCAGACGUUGAAGCCCAGGAUCCAGACGCCACCGUCGACGACGACUACUACACUUGAGGAGCCUACUACUACGUGCAGGCCACUGACGACGACCAGGAGUAGUUAGGUGGAUCCCAGGCAGGAGGCAUGCGCCUCUUUCGAUCUGUAUCCCAGUUUGUGCUAGCCAUCUUAUGGCAACUUGUUAACUUAUGUCUGUACUCAGAUAUUGUUGCUUCCGCUGACUCGUUUAUGUACGAGCACUUGUAUUCGAGCCCUCGAGGCCCCUGGCUUGUAAUAUGAUGCUUGUAUGACUUAUUUUACUUUUAGAGUUGUGUUGUGAUAUCUUCCCGUGAGUCCCUGAUCUUGAUCGUACACAUUUGC
This 793-nucleotide ribosomal RNA is filed under the name Triticum aestivum (bread wheat). RNAcentral's name for it is "partial small subunit ribosomal RNA". The record is from RNAcentral. Lineage: Eukaryota; Viridiplantae; Streptophyta; Magnoliopsida; Poales; Poaceae.